UGGGGAAUAUUGGACAAUGGGGGGAACCCUGAUCCAGCCAUGCCGCGUGUGUGAAGAAGGCCUUAUGGUUGUAACGCACUUUAAGCGAGGAGGAGGGUACUGGUAUUAAUACUACCAGGUACUGGACGUUACUCGCAGAAUAAGCACCGGCUAACUCUGUGCCAGCAGCCGCGGUAAUACAGAGGGUGCGAGCGUUAAUCGGAUUUACUGGGCGUAAAGCGUGCGUAGGCGGCUAAUUGAGUCGGAUGUGAAAUCCCCGAGCUUAACUUGGGAAGUGCAUUCGAUACUGGUUAGCUAGAGUGUGGGAGAGGAUGGUAGAAUUCCAGGUGUAGCGGGGAAAUGCGUGGAGAUCUGGGGGAAUACCGAUGGCGAAGGCAGCCAUCUGGCCUAACACUGACGCUGAGGUACGAAAGCAUGGGGAGCAAACAGG
Molecule: ribosomal RNA, 430 nt
Filed under: Pseudomonadota bacterium
Lineage: Bacteria; Pseudomonadati; Pseudomonadota
Description: Proteobacteria bacterium partial 16S ribosomal RNA
Rfam family: Bacterial small subunit ribosomal RNA
Source: RNAcentral